UCAAUUCCUUCCAGGUUCAACCAGUGCCGUAUCCAUAUCAUCCCGAGGUCGCGUUCGGAAACUCACACCCAAAGCGCGAGGCCUCCUACGAGAGUGACACACGCCCUCUGCGGCACAAAGGUACUACACACAGCCAGUCGACGGGCGCCUCAGUCCCUCUGUGCUUCCACAAGCACAUAACAGGGACACACUGAAGUUACUAGAGACUAGCGAAGACUCUGUGUUUACAAUUUCGUCCAGGGGUCGUGUUAGAAAACUCACGGCUAAAGCGCGCGGACUAUUAUGUGAAUGACACACGUUCAAAGGUACUACGCACUGCCAGCCGACGGGCGCCUCAGUCCCUCUGUGCUUCCACAAGCACAUAACAGGGACACACUGAAGUUGCAGACUAGCGAAGAUUCUGUGUUUACGAUUUCGUCCAGGGGUCGCGUGAGAAAACUCACGCCCAAAGCUCGCGGACUAUUAUGUGAGUGACACGAAAGGUACUACGCACUGCCAGCCGACGGCUGCCUCAGUCCCUCUGUGCUUCCUGAAGCACAUAACAGGGACACACUGAAGUUGCAGACUAGCGAAGACUGUGUUUACAAUUUCGUCCAGGGGUCGCGUGAGAAAACUUACUGCUAAAGCGCGCGGACUAUUAUGUGAGUGACACGAAAGGUACUACACACUGCCAGCCGACGGGCGCCUCAGUCCCUCUGUGCUUCCACAAGCACAUAACAGGGACUCACUGAAAUUACUAGAGACUAGCGAAGACACUGUGUUUACGAUUUCGUCCAGGGGUCGCGUUACAAAACUCACGCCCAAAGCGCGCGGACUAUUAUGUGAGUGACACACGUCGAAAGGUACUACGCACUGCCAGCCGACGGGCGCCUCAGUCCCUCUGUGCUUCCUGAAGCACAUAACAUGACCCACUGAAGUUUGCUACAGACUAGGGAAAACUUUUACGAUUUCGUCCAGGGAUCGCGCUAGAAAACUCACGGCGAAAGCACGCGGAUUGUUGUGUGAGUGAAACAAAUUGUUUUGAUCACAUUAGACCUUAAACCUUAUUACAGCGGAUUAAAAUACUUAGUGUAUGCAUUUUUACGCUCGUGUGUGCAACACGGGCUUCACACUGCCAACAAAUGAACGUAUGAAUGUUUAGUGCUCGUGCACUCAACGGAAAACAAUAAUCACAGAUAUUCGAUCUGGUUUAAGGUUAAUUGAUACACGUUUCUAAAAAGAAACGGGUUAUAACUAAUGACUAUUUGUCAGAUAAGUGCCCAAUAGAUACUUUAUCAGAAGGUGGUAAACGAUCAAAUUACUAAAGAAUUGGCAGAUUCUGUAUCUUUCUUGACCUUUUACGAUUUGCUUAAACUUACGCACGACGGAGUCUCAAUUGGUAAGUCAACAGUUAAACCAAUAAAUUCCAAGACAUGACUUUAUAAAAAACAUUUUAUUAGCCUUCAAAUCGAUCAAACAGCAAAAAGUGACUUUUGACAGCUCAUAAAAAGUACCUAUGUCGAUUGGAGGUAUCGUCUACUUGCUAAACAACACAUUAACUACCGCGAAAUGCAGAAGCUUUUUCAUGGUUACAAACAUCUAACACCACAGCUGGGCACCGUAAAUUUUGUGCCAUGGAUUUUAAUCGAAAACCCAAAGUGGUUUUUAAUCGAAAACCCAAAGUGGUUUUAAUUAUGACACUUGAACUUAAAUGUUCUAAUCAUAUUCUACAGACCACUGCAACAGCAAGUAUAUCUCUCGAAAAAGAUCAAAUUCUUAUCACUACUGACACUGUAAUAUUGCGUGAUUGUAUAUUAAUGUGUAAUUUGUUAAAUAAAUACGAGUCUUUGUAAUCAGUCGUUGUGUUCGCGCGCGGUGUUCAACUCGAAUUUAAUGUAAUAUAACUUGAUAAUCUUUGUACAUAAUUAAUUUAUAACACUAUCUUCCAUCGACUUCAAUCUAUACCGAGUUUAAAGCAAAUAAUCCUGUUUUUAUGAAGGUGGGGUAGUGUUUCUUUUUUACAAAUUAUAAUUUCACUUUGUAAUUGAUUUCCCAUCACAUAAGCGUACACUUAUAAGUGUGUAUAAUAGACGAAAAUAUUUUCUAUUUAGACUACAAUGCAAUUUAUUUUUGACACAAAUUAAUGAAGAUUUAGACGUAAGCCGCUCAAUUAUUGAUCAGCAAAUCAAUAAGUUUUUUAAAUAAAAUUAAAAUCGAUGUAAUCAUUUAAGUUUGAUUUUAUGCCUUAUGAGAAACAGUUAUACUUUAGUAACGUAAUAUUUUUCCCUAAUGGAUUUGUAACUUUAUGUUCUAAGUUUAAGGUUAAAAAUUAAUGUAGAUAAUUUGACAUGUGGAGGUUAUCUGAUGACUUUACAUUAUGUAUUUGUGUAUUGAAAUAAAAACAAUGUGGAGUCAAACCAAGAACAACAGCUGUUGAUUUGUUUCUUUUAUGGAAUACGUUGUAAAUCAAUAAUUUGUUCAAGAAGCAUCCGAAAAGUAUUUACCUUAAAAACAAUUUUAAGUUCAAAUACUUCUUAUUUUUAUAAAUAUUUACUAACUUAACUUUACUUAGACAGUUACCUACGUCAUGUGUGUUCGCGUUUUUUUCUCUUUCACUCACUCUAUAAAGAGUGAGAUGGCAUGAUAGCCACGCCCACAUGAAAACAUGUGCCUCUCGCGACUUCUUUUAUUUCUCUUAAUCAAAAUGUAGGUUGUUUCUUAAUUUAAUUAGUGUAAUAAUUAAUUAUUAUUUCAAUUAUGUCGCUAGAUUACCCAUAUCGCGUACAAAAUAGCACAAAAAUGUUAAGAUUAUGUAAAUUGCAACGAGACUUACAGUUGUGCUUUAAAUAAUAGUAAUAAUUAUUUAAAUAAUUUGACAUUAUUAUUUCUCAUCUUAAUGAUUAGCUAAAUGUAUGAUCGUUAGUUAUUAUUUUUAUUAAGUAACCGUAGCGAAUAAAGGUGUGUUCACAUUGCUACGUAGUUGUCACAUUUAGCGAAACGAAUUUUAAUCUGUCGCGAAUGUCACUUUGUCUAGCUACUGUUACAUGCGUGGUAGUGUGAAUGUACCUUAAUCGAAUCGACUUAGCGCGACGUUGCGUCGUUUCGUUGUCUCGAUCUCUUGUCGUCCGAUAGUAAAGGAGGUACGGAAUGAAAAUCGAUUCAGAAAACGUCAAAUAUGAACAUGGAAUAGCUACAAUAUCUGGGGGCACUGCGAGCAAAAAAGCGGCACGGCCGUACCAUCCUUUUCUCGAUUUAUAUUUCAUCUAUGUUGCUAGAUUAAUAAAUUCAAGGUUAAAAAGUACAGCACAUUCUGUCAUUACUGCAUGGAAAUGUAGGUACAGAUCGUUUCAUCCACGAAAACGCGCCCCACCAUUCUGCCGCUAAUGUUUGAGUGUUAUCGGUACACGCUAAAUCAUCCAUGAGUGCACACGCACACUUCAAUAAUGCCUUACGGAUUGCUCAGAUUAAACUCCCCGCACCCCGCGCGACCGAGACCAAUAAUUGGUGGGGCGUGUCUUCGUGGAUGAAACUUUCUAUAAUUUAAAGUUUGAUGUGGACACGCUAGUAAAUUAACUUGUAUAGAUGUCUUAAACUGAACCGUUGCAGCUAUGACAUUGUCAGGGGGCGCUACUAUCAAUACUGGGUUGUCAGUUUUUGAUUUUUGACACUUGACAUUUCAAAAUUAUAUACAUGCUUUUGUUUGACUUUUUCUGAGUCGAUCGACUCGCUUGGCCAUGCGUAAGCAAUAUUAUGAUAAUCACAAAAUUGUAUCGUCUAAAUGUACCUAUUUAUUUUAUAGUUACUCAAUAGAUAAUUAUAAGUUUCCUAAGUAUUGUAAAAUUAUGUAUCUAUAGUCGAGUAAGUUGUAUUUUGUGUACUGGCAACACUAUGUGAUCAAUUGAAGUCAAAAUGAAAAUAUUGCAAUCAUUUGGUUAAGAAAACGGCAGAACUAGUGUUGUUCUUUUCAUUUUUAUGUACGAUAGAACAGGACAACACUUAUUUUAGCUGUCAAGUUUAGAAUUUAGCACUGGUUUUUGUGAGAAAAUUCACCAGUGUGAACUUUGUGAUUUGUAGGUAUGUAAAAAAACUUUGAAAAAUAUUUGUUUUGUGCGUUGAAUCGCAUCGUGUUUAUUAAAAUUUAGAAAUAAGCCAAUAUACGACGACGGGGAUGUUGUAGUCAAUAUAUUUUGAGCCUUGUCUACUAGUCUUAAGGUCUUAAAGCAAUGAAAUUACCACCAGCUAUGCCUUAUGGGAGGGGUAAGGCAGUUAUGGGCCUGUAUUAUGAAACCUUUCUCGACAAUUCAAACUCAAAAAUGGAUUGGCUAAAUAUUCGCUCACACUACAAUCAGCCUUGAAUCUUUUUUUUGUGUAGAUUCAUACUUCAGUUAAGUUUCAUAACACAGGCUUUAGACGAAACUUAACAUUGUAUUUAGGCUUAAUCAGGCAUUAAUUGCUAAUGAAAAAAAAAGACCAAAACUUUUUAGUUCAUGAUUGUUAGUUUUUUGUUUUUCUCUUGUGGCAACCCACUGAAUUUAUACCAAAUUAGUAUUUUGUACUCUAUUCCUAUUACGUGUUAAGGUGAACGCAUACCUACCCGCAGAAUCUGAAGUCUACACUUAAAUAAAAUUCAAUGAAAUUUUACUGAAAAAGAUUUUCGCGUCGAUAGAUAUGCUUUCACCUUUAUGUAGGUAGGUAGUUUUGCAAAUAUACUGACAAUGUUAAAUUCCGUCUGUGUUGAGUUGGCAGAACUCUGCGAUGUUCAUUAUAGCGUAGUUAACAUAAAGUUGAUAUUCCUUCGAAAUAGAGCAACAACCACGAGCUGUCAAACGACACCGAUUUUAGGAUGUCAUUUGUGUGUCAGUUUUCAGGAUUAUUUCUCUGUUUUGUGCAAUAAUCAAUCAAAGAACCAGUCACCACGUUUCUGAAGCACAUUUCUCAUAAAUAUUCACGACUUCACUCGCGUAAAAUCUGAAAAAAUCUCAUCUUCAACGUGCCAAUAAGUGCUAACGAACUGUCAAAUAGUUACAAAAAACGGUUCUGUUUGACGUGCGGUGACGGCAUCACGCAUCUCUUUUUAUCACACAGUGUUACUGCUAGUGACAUCUCGCUCGCUUAGUGCUGUUGCUCUAUUCCGCUAGGUAUAUAAACUUUAUGGUAGGUAAGAACAAACCAAUUUUGAUAUCUGUGACAUGUAAGUUAAGUUAGCAGCGCCCUGUACAUAUACCGGCGCGCGUCGUUGAGGUGAUACCAAACGAUAAUAAAAUUACUAUUUUGUA
Molecule: long non-coding RNA, 5255 nt
Organism: Ostrinia furnacalis (Asian corn borer)
Lineage: Eukaryota; Metazoa; Arthropoda; Insecta; Lepidoptera; Crambidae
Exons: 2
Source: RefSeq, a predicted model, not a curated record